GAUGAACGCUGGCGGCGUGCUUAACACAUGCAAGUCGAACGGAAAGGCCCCUCUUUGCGGGUGCACUCGAGUGGAGCGGGGGUGUGUAACACGUGGGUGAUCUGCCCUGCACUUGGGGAAACGUUUGAGACAGUGGGUAUAAUUCCGGAUAGGAAUGCUGUAUGGGGGGUGUGGGGGAAAGUAUUUUCGGUGGGGGAUGAGCUCGCGGCCUAUCAGCUUGUUGGUGGGGUAAUGGCCUACCAAGGCGUCGACGGGUAGCCGGCCUGAGAGGGUGUACGGCCAUAGGGGGACGGUAAUACGGACCAGACUACGAGGGGAGGCAGCAGUGGAGAAUGUAGCACAAGGGGAGCAAGCCUGAUGCAGCGCCGCCGGGUGGGGGAUGACGUCCUGCGGGUUGUAAACUCCUUGCGAUGGGGACGAAGAGGAAGUGACGGUACCUGGAGAAGAAGCACCGGCUAACUACGUG
RNAcentral lists this ribosomal RNA (466 nucleotides) under uncultured bacterium. RNAcentral describes it as "partial 16S ribosomal RNA". It matches the Rfam family "Bacterial small subunit ribosomal RNA", at positions 28 to 507 of the family's 1533-position model. The record is from RNAcentral.